RNAcentral lists this long non-coding RNA (1872 nucleotides) under Theobroma cacao (cacao). RNAcentral describes it as "long non-coding RNA (TCAC_LNC005823)". Lineage: Eukaryota; Viridiplantae; Streptophyta; Magnoliopsida; Malvales; Malvaceae. The record is from RNAcentral.
UAGCGUAAAAGUUAAUUAUAUUCAUAUAUACUAUAAAGCAAAUAACCAAAGCAUAAAAUUACUUUUACAGCGACCCGUGGGCCCACAUCUAACCAAAAUGCAUCGGAAGCUGAAACCUACAGCUUUUGCCGAUUUAAGUCCAAAUGAAGGUCCUUGUCAAAGUCAGCUAACUAUGGAAUUCCCCGAGCCUGAAAUGUGAGAAAAUGAGGGUGGUGAGAUUAUAAAAUCCCAGUGAGUAAACAGAUACCAUCUAAACUAUCUAAAGGCGAGUAAAUGGAGACGAAUUAAAAUAAGUCAUCAUAUUGUAAUUUCAUUACCUUUCAACUCAUUUCAACCAAAUAAACAACUAGGCUUAUGAUUUCCUGAAAAGCUUGGCUCAUGCCAAAAAUCAUUCUCAUACUCAGUUAUCAGGGAUACCUUGAUCGAGGGUUAUCCCAACCGAGUCCGCCAAGGCUGUUAAAUGUCUUUACAUCCAAAAUUUUAGCCAUGCCUUGGCGUUGACUGAGUCUCACUCUCACGCGGUGGUCCACGUGAAGUGCACUCAAAUCUUUACCUCAGGAGAUACUUCAUCCAACAUCUCCCUCCGGAGGUAAAUAUAUAAUUGGGUUACCGUGCCCUUCUCACAGGCAGUCUAAGGAAACUCUCACCACUGCAGUGACUAUGGAUUAUUUUAUCUACCACCUGAUUUAUAAAAUCUUUUUUUGCAUGACAUGACAAUUUAUUGCAACUAGCCUCUCAAGGCUGAAUACACAAUAUAAAUAAUUCUAACACCAAAAUCAGUUUAGCCAUUCAUGCUCAUUUAUUGUCAUAAGCCAUUCAAUUUAAAACCAUAAAUUUACAACACAAGCAGACAGUCUCUAAUUACUCUAUUUUCAAAAUCAAUAUUCAAUUUUCUAGAAAAUUUAUAAAAUCAUUUUAUAAAAUCACAAUUUCUCCUAAAACAUAGCAAUUUAUAAUUUAAACCCAUUUUUCAUAAAAUCACACAAUUGCAUAAAACUACUCUAGAUAAUUAAGACAAUAAUAAGUUUACUCACAAUUCUAGGAGUCGAUGUACUCCUAAUCCCAGUCUCCAAGCACAAUCUCUGUACUUUUACCAGUGUAAUUUACUCACCACCUAUCCACAAUGUACAAUACAUAAUUCACCACAUCAAUGCUUGACCAUUAUAAAAUCAAUUCAGGCUCGGUGUAUAUGCAUGAUAUGAUAUGCAACUUAUCCGACUACCGCUUAAAUGCAGUGCUGACCUAAUUCGGCCUAUUACCCCGAUUAAAUGACAAUUGUGUUCGAUUUGGCUCCAAAUUGCUCCAUUUCAUUUCUAAUAUUUCAAUUCACUAAAUACAAUUCCAAUAAUCUAAAAUUCAGCCUAACAACCCUCACAAUUCUUCUUGAAAAUUUCGGCCAUUGUGGUGCACUAUCACUAAAAAUUUUCCCAUUCCAUUUUCUCACCAUAAAUCAACAUUUCAUCAAUUUUUCAACCAAUUCACUUGAUCACAAAAUUAAUUCAUUACUUCUACACUUCACAUAGGGUUUGGCCAUUGAAGGUUCAUGGGGAAAAUGGAUUCUUUUCUUGUUGUUUUGUUUCUAAACUUGCUUAACUAACUAAAAACACUAACAUAACUUAGAAUCAAAUCAAUCUAACAUCAUUCUCUCUCCAUACCCAUUCCAACCAGCCAUGAAUUCAUCAUGAAAACAUGUAAUUUAACCAUGGAAAAUGAGGAGAAAUGCAUGGGAAAGGUAGAUUACAAGUCAAAAUCAAGAAAUUUUACCUUUUGUCACUUGUUUCCUUGAAUUUUCAUCAAUUUUCCCUUGAAUUUCUCCACCUAGGGUUUUUCUUUUUCUUUUCUCCCUUUGUUCUUCUUUGCUCUUGGUUUGGC